AACGAACGCUGGCGGCAGGCUUAACACAUGCAAGUCGAACGGUUGUAGCAAUACAGCAGUGGCGCACGGGUGAGUAACGCGUGGAUAUCUGCCUUUUGGUUCGGAAUAACUCCGGGAAACUGGAGCUAAUACCGGAUGGUUCCUACGGGAUAAAGAUUUAUCGCCAAAAGAUGAGUCCGCGUACGAUUAGCUAGUUGGUGAGGUAAUGGCUCACCAAGGCGACGAUCGUUAGCUGGUCUGAGAGGACGAUCAGCCACACUGGGACUGAGACACGGCCCAGACUCCUACGGGAGGCAGCAGUGGGAAUAUUGGACAAUGGGGCAACCCUGAUCCAGCCAUGCCGCGUGAGUGAUGAAGGCCUUCGGG
Molecule: ribosomal RNA, 366 nt
Filed under: uncultured bacterium
Lineage: Bacteria
Description: bacterial SSU rRNA
Rfam family: Bacterial small subunit ribosomal RNA
Source: RNAcentral